AAUGGGAGAAAUCCUGAAGCAGCAACGCCGCGUGAAGGAUGAAGGGCUUUUGCUUGUAAACUUCUGUAGUGAGGGAAAAAACCUCCAUUCUAUGGAGUAUGAUGGUACCUCAAAAGUAAGCCCCGGCUAACUACGUGCCAGCAGCCGCGGUAAUACGUAGGGGGCAAACGUUGUCCGGAUUUACUGGGUGUAAAGGGUGCUCAGGCGGUUUUGUAAGUCAGAAGUGAAAUCCUAGAGCUUAACUCUGGAACUGCUUUUGAUACUGCAAAGCUUGAAUGUGGAAGAGGAUGAUGGAAUUUCUGGUGUAGCAGUGAAAUGCGUAGAUAUCAGAAAGAACACCAGUGGCGAAGGCGGUCAUCUGGUCCACUAUUGACGCUAAAGCACGAAAGCGUGGGGAGCAAA
Molecule: ribosomal RNA, 402 nt
Filed under: uncultured bacterium
Lineage: Bacteria
Description: bacterial SSU rRNA
Rfam family: Bacterial small subunit ribosomal RNA
Source: RNAcentral